Molecule: ribosomal RNA, 465 nt
Filed under: uncultured bacterium
Lineage: Bacteria
Description: partial 16S ribosomal RNA
Rfam family: Bacterial small subunit ribosomal RNA
Source: RNAcentral
GACGAACGCUGGCGGCGUGCUUAACACAUGCAAGUCGAACGGAAAGGCCCUGCUUGCAGGGUACUCGAGUGGCGAACGGGUGAGUAACACGUGGGAGAUCUGCCCUGCACUUCGGGAUAAGCCUGGGAAACUGGGUCUAAUACCGGAAAGGAGCCAGUGUGAGUGUGAUGGUUGGAAAGUUUUUUCGGUGUAGGAUGAGCUCGCGGCCUAUCAGCUUGUUGGUGGGGUAAUGGCCUACCAAGGCGGCGAUGGGUAGCCGGACUGAGAGGGUGGACGGCCACAUUGGGACUGAGGUACGGCCCAGACGCCUACGGGAGGCAGCAGGGGGGAAUAUUGCACAAUGGGCGCAAGCCUGAUGCAGCGACGCCGCGUGGGGGAUGACGGCCUUCGGGUUGUAAACUCCUUUCGCUAGGGACGAAGCUUUUUGUGACGGUACCUAGAGAAGAAGCACCGGCUAACUACGUG